UACGGAGGGUGCGAGCGUUGUCCGGAAUCACUGGGCGUAAAGGGCGCGUAGGCGGCCUGAUAAGUAGGGGGUGAAAUCCUGCGGCUUAACCGCAGGGCUGCCUUCUAAACUGUCAGGCUGGAGCACAGUAGAGGCAGAUGGAAUUCCGGGUGUAGCGGUGGAAUGCGUAGAGAUCCGGAAGAACACCGGUGGCGAAGGCGGUCUGCUGGGCAGUAGCUGACACUGAGGCGCGACAGCGUGGGGAGCAAACAGGAUUAGAAACCCCCGUAGUCC
Molecule: ribosomal RNA, 273 nt
Filed under: uncultured bacterium
Lineage: Bacteria
Description: partial 16S ribosomal RNA
Rfam family: Bacterial small subunit ribosomal RNA
Source: RNAcentral